GAUGAACGCUGGCGGCGUGCCUAAUACAUGCAAGUCGAGCGAACAGACGAGGAGCUUGCUCCUCUGACGUUAGCGGCGGACGGGUGAGUAACACGUGGAUAACCUACUUCUAAGACUGGGAUAACUUCGGGAAACCGGAGCUACUACCGGCUAAUAUAUUCAACCGCAUGGUUCAAUAGUGAAAGACGGCUUUGCUGUCACUUUUAGAUGGAUCCGCGCCGCAUUAGCUAGUUGGUAAGGUAACGGCUUACCAAGGCAACGAUGCGUAGCCGACCUGAGAGGGUGAUCGGCCACACUGGAACUGAGACACGGUCCAGACUCCUACGGGAGGCAGCAGUAGGGAAUCUUCCACAAUGGGCGCAAGCCUGACGGAGCAACGCCGCGUGAGUGAUGAAGGUCUUCGGGUCGUAAAACUCUGUUGUUAGGGAAGAACAAAUGUGUAAGUAACUAUGCACGUCUUGACGGUACCUAAACAGAAAGCCACGGCUAACUACGUG
Molecule: ribosomal RNA, 497 nt
Filed under: uncultured bacterium
Lineage: Bacteria
Description: partial 16S ribosomal RNA
Rfam family: Bacterial small subunit ribosomal RNA
Source: RNAcentral